GACGAACGUUGGCGGCGUGCUUAACACAUGCAAGUCGAACGGAAAGGCCCUGCUUUUGUGGGGUGCUCGAGUGGCGAACGGGUGAGUAACACGUGAGUAACCUGCCCUUGACUUUGGGAUAACUUCAGGAAACUGGGGCUAAUACCGGAUAGGAGCUCCUGCUGCAUGGUGGGGGUUGGAAAGUUUCGGCGGUUGGGGAUGGACUCGCGGCUUAUCAGCUUGUUGGUGGGGUAGUGGCUUACCAAGGCUUUGACGGGUAGCCGGCCUGAGAGGGUGACCGGCCACAUUGGGACUGAGAUACGGCCCAGACUCCUACGGGAGGCAGCAGUGGGGAAUAUUGCACAAUGGGCGGAAGCCUGAUGCAGCAACGCCGCGUGCGGGAUGACGGCCUUCGGGUUGUAAACCGCUUUCGCCUGUGACGAAGCGUGAGUGACGGUAAUGGGUAAAGAAGCACCGGCUAACUACGUGCCAGCAGCCGCGGUGAUACGUAGGGUGCGAGCGUUGUCCGGAUUUAUUGGGCGUAAAGGGCUCGUAGGUGGUUGAUCGCGUCGGAAGUGUAAUCUUGGGGCUUAACCCUGAGCGUGCCUUCGAUACGGGUUGACUUGAGGAAGGUAGGGGAGAAUGGAAUUCCUGGUGGAGCGGUGGAAUGCGCAGAUAUCAGGAGGAACACCAGUGGCGAAGGCGGUUCUCUGGGCCUUUCCUGACGCUGAGGAGCGAAAGCGUGGGGAGCGAACAGGCUUAGAUACCCUGGUAGUCCACGCUGUAAACGGUGGGUACUAGGUGUGGGGUCCAUUCCACGGGUUCCGUGCCGUAGCUAACGCUUUAAGUACCCCGCCUGGGGAGUACGGCCGCAAGGCUAAAACUCAAAGGAAUUGACGGGGCCCCGCACAAGCGGCGGAGCAUGCGGAUUAAUUCGAUGCAACGCGUAGAACCUUACCUGGGUUUGACAUGGAUCGGGAGUGCUCAGAGAUGGGUGUGCCUCUUUUGGGGUCGGUUCACAGGUGGUGCAUGGCUGUCGUCAGCUCGUGUCGUGAGAUGUUGGGUUAAGUCCCGCAACGAGCGCAACCCUUGUUCACUGUUGCCAGCACGUUAUGGUGGGGACUCAGUGGAGACCGCCGGGGUCAACUCGGAGGAAGGUGGGGAUGACGUCAAGUCAUCAUGCCCCUUAUGUCCAGGGCUUCACGCAUGCUACAAUGGCUGGUACAGAGAGUGGCGAGCCUGUGAGGGUGAGCGAAUCUCGGAAAGCCGGUCUCAGUUCGGAUUGGGGUCUGCAACUCGACCUCAUGAAGUCGGAGUCGCUAGUAAUCGCAGAUCAGCAACGCUGCGGUGAAUACGUUCCCGGGGCU
RNAcentral lists this ribosomal RNA (1346 nucleotides) under uncultured bacterium. RNAcentral describes it as "partial 16S ribosomal RNA". It matches the Rfam family "Bacterial small subunit ribosomal RNA", at positions 28 to 1381 of the family's 1533-position model. The record is from RNAcentral.